GUCUACGUAGCUCAGCUGGAUAGAGCACACGCCUUCUAAGCGUGCGGUCGAGGGUUCGAGUCCCCCCGUGGACGCCA
This 77-nucleotide transfer RNA is filed under the name Dielma fastidiosa. RNAcentral describes it as "tRNA-Arg". It matches the Rfam family "tRNA". From Rfam's summary of the family: Transfer RNA (tRNA) molecules are approximately 80 nucleotides in length. Their secondary structure includes four short double-helical elements and three loops (D, anti-codon, and T loops). Further hydrogen bonds mediate the characteristic L-shaped molecular structure. tRNAs have two regions of fundamental functional importance: the anti-codon, which is responsible for specific mRNA codon recognition, and the 3' end, to which the tRNAs corresponding amino acid is attached (by aminoacyl-tRNA synthetases). tRNAs cope with the degeneracy of the genetic code in two manners: having more than one tRNA (with a specific anti-codon) for a particular amino acid; and 'wobble' base-pairing, i.e. permitting non-standard base-pairing at the 3rd anti-codon position. The record is from RNAcentral. Lineage: Bacteria; Bacillati; Bacillota; Erysipelotrichia; Erysipelotrichales; Erysipelotrichaceae. RNAcentral also lists the same sequence under 1 other name.